Long non-coding RNA from Eleginops maclovinus (Patagonian blennie), 666 nucleotides. RefSeq lists it as uncharacterized. The record is from RefSeq and is a predicted model, not a curated record. The transcript is spliced from 3 exons. NCBI's taxonomy places the organism in Eukaryota, Metazoa, Chordata, Actinopteri, Perciformes, Eleginopidae.
CAACACAGGAGUAUUUUUCCCUUGCUUAAAACUGAAUUGUUAUGCAGGGUUUGGAUGUUUCAUGAGAGGAAGGGUUUGGUCAAUUGCCGACUGGCGGGAACUCGUUCUCGUCGUCCAGGCAGACGGGGCUCGCGGCGAACUCGUGCUCCGGGAUGACGUCCCCUGUCUGGGCUCCACCGUCCUCAGAGUAACCUGGGACGAGAAGGAAGAGGAGGGGAAGAUCGUAUUUCCUACAAUUUUACUUUUUUGUUGAAGGAGCCCCACUAAGACACACACACACACAAACACACACACACACACCUGUGUUGUUGGACCAGAACACACUCUCCUCCAUCCUGUGGAUCCACAUUAUAGAUGUAGAGACACCCGUCUGAGGAUGCAACCAGCAGGCGGGGGAGCUUCUGAAUCCUGACAAACAAAACCAGCACAAGAUGAACGCUGAAGACUCUGAUAACGGUGCCCUGUGGAGGAGAGCAUGGUCAGAAAAGAGGAUGUGGGUAAUAAAACAUAAAGAGCGAUGGAGAAAUAAUGGUCACCUUUUCUGAAGCGCUGGCCAGUUUGGUGCCGGAGGAAUUAAAGGUGAGGGCCGCCAGGGGACUGUCGUGGGCUUGGAUCAGCGUCAAAGUGCUCUAUAGGGGCAAAUGAGGUUUAUUUGAUUUGAUUUAU